GUUCAUCAGUGCCACGAUUUGAUAAAUGCUCCUCAUGUAUUGCAAAAUUCUUGAAACCCAAUUUAUUGUUGUAACCGUUGGAAUGUGAAAACAAUCAACAAUCAUUAUUACUUGAUUUAAUUUCAUUUGAAGCCAUUCGUUUGCCAAAUCUUUAAAAUCCUUCGUAUCAUUAUUGUUUUCUUUAUUUAAUUUCUAUGUUUCUCUAGAAGCCAACGACCAGUCAUCGCAUAACCACCAUCAAAUGCCACACACUGUUGAUUCUCCGCCAAGUCGGCUCUGGUGGAUAGAACGAACGACGAAACGAGACCUGCCGAGAUGCGUGACAACGGCAUCCUACAAUUUUGGAUCACCAGGUUCGAAUUACCCUUUUCAUCAUAAUCGAUAGUGGCUGCGUUAAUUAAUUCUAGGGUUCUGGUGAAGCCUCGGUCAUAGCCGCCUCCGUCGUCGGAACUAAUAGUUUCCUUCAUGAGGGUUUUUUUUUUUUUUACACUGUUUAUCGUUUUUAUUUUGACUUGAGAUGUUGAAGAAGAGAAGGAGUGCAAUGAAUGAUCCCUUGAAAACGUGUCUCUAAAUCCUCUAUCACACAGUAAUUUGUUUAAUUGAGAUUUUUUUUUUCUUUUUUUCAAGUUACUGGUUUAUAUGAUGUAUGAAUAAAUUUUUGCUUUAAUUCAAAGUUAUAUAAUUUGCAGAAACAUGUUUAGUUCAUGUGGGAUUGGAAUUGCAUUCUUUCAUAUGAUCCUUGAUCUUCGGCUCGCAAUUGCAAAUACGCUUACCGCCCGGUUAAAUGAUGGAAUUCCCUAAAUUGAUGAGAAAUGGGUGCUUCUCGGUUUCUGUAUAUACGCAGCUACACUGUAUCUGCAUUUUGCCACAUCAGUCAUUAUUCAUGAAAUAACAACAUCUCUUGGAAUCUACUGUUUUAGGAUAAGAAUUGCAAAGAAAAAGGCCUGAGACAUGUUCAUGUUUGAUAUGAAGGUUACUACCAGCUCACAAAUUGGAAUUGGAUAUAUCUAAUAUACCCGAGUUUUGUGACCGGUUUCGUAUCUGUUGUUACAGAUUCGGCUGAUCGGAAUCAAGGGUUUCAAAUAAAGUGGUGGAACUUGCAUUAGUUAAUAGACCACAGGUGAAUAGAGAUAUUGCUGGUUCUUCUAUUUUACUUCUCCCUAGAGAAUUUUCAUUUGUUCACACUUGAAACAAUGCGGGUUUCAAUCAGAGUCAAAGUGGGAUUCAAGGAAACUUUGGGGGUGGUUUUUUGAGUCUUCGACUUGGAGGUAGUGAAGAAUCGGUAUCUACUUCACCUUGCGUCAUGGAUUUAUAGCGGUGAGCACUUAUAUACACAACAAUGUUAAGAGGCUGGACUGGAACUUUUUUAGAAAAAGAACGUCAUAAUAAAAAAAAUGAUGAUACAAAACUCAAUCCUGUAUUAGAUGGUACAAAUGAAUUUUCAUUAUUCGCAUCCCCAUCAUUUCAGGAUUGAAUCAAGGUGAUACUGCUCUUCCAUUAAAGGGUUGGCCUUUGAGUGUAAGACAAGAUGGUUUGCAUUUCUUCCAUACAAUGUUAUAAUUUGAUUUCUAAAGAUGCUUGGUGUGAAUUUCCUUAACAGGGAAUGGAUGAUUUACACCCUAAUAUGGGUUUGCAAGUACAAAAGCUCAAUAUGCAGAAUCAACAUCAGUUCUAUUUGCCUUGAAACAUGCCCAGGCCCAAGGUAAUAUUGCAACUUCACCAAAUUAUGGGCUUGUUAGAUUAUCUAGAGGCAGUCUAAGUAUGAAAGAUGGUCAAACCACAAGAAAUGAUGGAUCCCCUGGUCAAAUGAAUUCACCCCAGGUUAAGAUUUUCUUUUUAUGAUCUAAUUCUUGGUUCUCUGUGUUAUUAUAACAUCUCUCUUUUAUCUACACAAUCCCCAACAAGACCACUUUAAUCUGUACUUCUGU
Molecule: long non-coding RNA, 1928 nt
Filed under: Helianthus annuus (common sunflower)
Lineage: Eukaryota; Viridiplantae; Streptophyta; Magnoliopsida; Asterales; Asteraceae
Description: hypothetical non coding rna
Source: RNAcentral